Molecule: ribosomal RNA, 888 nt
Filed under: Polypedates leucomystax (Java whipping frog)
Lineage: Eukaryota; Metazoa; Chordata; Amphibia; Anura; Rhacophoridae
Description: partial 16S ribosomal RNA
Rfam family: Bacterial large subunit ribosomal RNA
Source: RNAcentral
GCCACCUUUUGAAACGCGUCAAAGCGUAACUUUAACACCCAAAAUACCAUUAAUUUUUAUGAACCCCUAAUUUAUAAUGAAUGACUCCAUAUUUAUAUGGAAGACACCAUGCUAGGAUUAGUAACAAGAAUUUAUAAUUCUCCAAAAUGCAAAUAUAAACCAACAUGGAUAGACCAUUGGUAGUUACCGAACCUAAAUUUAAUGCAAUAACAUCCACAAGAAAACUCUGCAGCACUCACUCGUUAACCUAACACCAGCGCAUUACAGGAAAGAUUCAAAAAAAGAGAAGGAAUUCGGCAAAUGACGGCCCCGCCUGUUUACCAAAAACAUCGCCUCUUGACUUAUAAUAAGAGGUCUAGCCUGCCCAGUGAAUUUUAAACGGCCGCGGUAUCCUAACCGCGCGAAGGUAGCAUAAUCACUUGUUCUUUAAAUGGGGACUCGUAUCAACGGCAUCACGAGGGUUUUACUGUCUCCUCUUUUUGAUCAGUGAAAUUGAUCUUCCCGUGAAGAAGCGGGAAUAUUUUUAUAAGACGAGAAGACCCCAUGGAGCUUUAAACCAAAUAACAACUUAACCACUUAUCCCAUAAUAAAUUUAACCCCUGUUAUAAGGUUUUUGGUUGGGGUGACCGCGGAGUAAAGCACAUCCUCCACGACGGAAAGAAUAAAAUCUUUAUUUAAGAACCACACUUCUAGAAAUUAGUAUACUAACGUUUACUGACCCGACAAUCGAUCAACGGACCAAGUUACCCUGGGGAUAACAGCGCAAUCUACUUCGAGAGCUCAUAUCGACAAGUAGGCUUACGACCUCGAUGUUGGAUCAGGGUAUCCCGGUGGUGCAGCCGCUACCGAAGGUUCGUUUGUUCAACGAUUAAAACCCUACGUGAUCUG